AAUUCGCCCUUAGAGUUUGAUCCUGGCUCAGAUUGAACUCUGGCGGCAGGCCUAACACAUGCAAGUCGAACGGUAACAGGAAGCAGCUUGCUGCUUCGCUGACGAGUGGCGGACGGGUGAGUAAUGUCUGGGAAACUGCCUGAUGGAGGGGGAUAACUACUGGAAACGGUAGCUAAUACCGCAUAACGUCGCAAGACCAAAGAGGGGGACCUUCGGGCCUCUUGCCAUCGGAUGUGCCCAGAUGGGAUUAGCUUGUUGGUGGGGUAACGGCUCACCAAGGCGACGAUCCCUAGCUGGUCUGAGAGGAUGACCAGCCACAUUGGAACUGAGACACGGUCCAGACUCCUACGGGAGGCAGCAGUGGGGAAUAUUGCACAAUGGGGGAAACCCUGAUGCAGCAACGCCGCGUGAGUGAUGAAGGUCUUCGGAUUGUAAAGCUCUGUCUUUAGGGACGAUAAUGACGGUACCUAAGGAGGAAGCCACGGCUAACUACGUGCCAGCAGCCGCGGUAAUACGUAGGUGGCAAGCGUUAUCCGGAUUUACUGGGCGUAAAGGGAGCGUAGGCGGAUAUUUAAGUGGGAUGUGAAAUACCCGAGCUUAACUUGGGAGCUGCAUUCCAAACUGGAUAUCUAGAGUGCAGGAGAGGAGAAUGGAAUUCCUAGUGUAGCGGUGAAAUGCGUAGGGAUUAGGAAGAACACCAGUGGCGAAGGCGAUUCUCUGGACUGUAACUGACGCUGAGGCUCGAAAGCGUGGGGAGCAAACAGGAUUAGAUACCCUGGUAGUCCACGCCGUAAACGACGAAUACUAGGUGUAGGGGCCCCAAGCCUCUGUGCCGCCGCUAACGCAUUAAGUAUUCCGCCUGGGGAGUACGGUCGCAAGAUUAAAACUCAAAGGAAUUGACGGGGACCCGCACAAGCAGCGGAGCAUGUGGUUUAAUUCGAAGCAACGCGAAGAACCUUACCUAGACUUGACAUGUCCUGAAUUACCAGUAAUGUGGGAAGUUCCUUCGGGAACAGGAACACAGGUGGUGCAUGGUUGUCGUCAGCUCGUGUCGUGAGAUGUUGGGUUAAGUCCCGCAACGAGCGCAACCCUUAUUGUUAGUUGGUACCAUUAAGUUGACCACUCUAGCGAGACUGCCCGGGUUAACCGGGAGGAAGGUGGGGAUGACGUCAAAUCAUCAUGCCCCUUAUGUCUAGGGCUACACACGUGCUACAAUGGCAAGUACAAAGAGAAGCAAUACUGUGAAGUGGAGCAAAACUCAAAAACUUGUCUCAGUUCGGAUUGUAGGCUGAAACUCGCCUACAUGAAGCUGGAGUUGCUAGUAAUCGCGAAUCAGAAUGUCGCGGUGAAUACGUUCCCGGGUCUUGCACACACCGCCCGUCA
RNAcentral lists this ribosomal RNA (1383 nucleotides) under uncultured bacterium. Its description in RNAcentral is "bacterial SSU rRNA". It matches the Rfam family "Bacterial small subunit ribosomal RNA". The record is from RNAcentral.